GACGAACGCUGGCGGCGUGCUUAACACAUGCAAGUCGAACGGAAAGGCCCUGCUUGCCGGGUGCUCGAGUGGCGAACGGGUGAGUAACACGUGGGUGAUCUGCCCCUUACUUUGGGAUAAGCCUGGGAAACUGGGUCUAAUACUGGAUAGGACCAUGCUGUAGGUGGUGUGGUGGGAAGAUGAGUUUCGGUAAGGGAUGAGCUCGCGGCCUAUCAGCUUGUUGGUGGGGUAGUGGCGUACCAGGGCGUCGACGGGUAGCCGGCCUGAGAGGGUGGACGGCCACAUGGGGGCUGAGAUACAGCCCGGACGCCGACGGGAGGCAGCAGUGGGGAAUAGUGCACAAUGGGCGCAAGCCUGAUGCAGCGACGCCGCGUGGGGGAUGACGGCCUUCGGGUUGUAAACUCCUUUCAGCCAUGACGAAGCCCUUGUGGUGACGGUAGUGGUAGAAGAAGCACCGGCUAACUACGUG
This 469-nucleotide ribosomal RNA is filed under the name uncultured bacterium. RNAcentral's name for it is "partial 16S ribosomal RNA". It matches the Rfam family "Bacterial small subunit ribosomal RNA", at positions 28 to 507 of the family's 1533-position model. The record is from RNAcentral.